AGCUUCGGAGGAUUUUGUGCAGUUACUUACUUGAGUUUUGCUCCCAAAGGACUCAAACAUGCUCUUAUAACUGGCGGACUCCCUCCAAUUGGAAAAGGAUGCACAGCUGAUGCUGUUUACAAGGCAGGCUUUGAGCAGCUUGUUCAUCAGAAUGAAAAAUAUUACAAGAGGUUUCCGCAGGAUAUUGAAAUUGUUCGUGAUGUCGUAAAUUACCUGGCAGAAUCUGAAGGAGGAGGGGUGCCUCUUCCAUCUGGCGGCAUCUUAACACCUCGAGGACUACAGCUUCUUGGUCUCUCGGGUCUAGGAUCUAGUACCGGUUUUGAACGAUUGCAUUACCUGUUUGAGAGAGCCUGGGAUCCUGUAAUAGUUCAAGGAGCAAAAAGGAGAAUCAGUGACUACUUCUUGAACGCUUAUGAGAGAUGGAUAGCAUUUGAUGCAAAUCCUUUAUAUGCUCUUUUGCAUGAAAGCAUAUAUUGCCAGGGUGCGUCGUCAAUGUGGUCUGCUCACAGAAUUAGGGCUGAAAAUGACAACAAAUUCAACGCAAUUGAGGCAGCAAAAAACAGCCGCCCCGUACUUUUUACUGGAGAGAUGAUAUUCCCAUGGUUGUUUGAUGAAGUCCAUGCCUUGAGGCCAUUCAAAGAUGCGGCCCAGCUAUUAGCAGAGAAGAAGGAUUGGCCUUCAUUAUAUGAUAUUGCUGCAUUAGAGGAUAACAAGGUACCAGUUGGAGCUGCUGUUUACUACGAAGACAUGUAUGUUAACUUUAAGCUAUCUAUGGAGACUGCUUCUCAGAUAGCAGGAAUCAGGCUUUGGAUUACUAAUGAGUACAUGCACUCUGGUCUGAGAGACGCCGGAAGUAAAGUUUUGGAUCAUUUGCUUGCUAUGUUAAAUGGAAAGAAGCCCCUGUUUUAACUCUAUUGGCCGCCAUCCACGCUUUCUCUGCAGCGUCGAAGGCUUUAGAUAAUGCUGAUGAAUUUAUUGAACACAUUUCUGAGCUUUCUUCAGUUGUUGCAAGACAAGAUGGCGCCAGAAAGGUUCUUUGAGGUUGUUGAUUGUAGCCUGCCGGGGCAUUUGUUUUCACUGAUGUAACUGGAACAGAAGCAUGCACAAGUAUCCUAGGCUUUGGCAUUUGAAUUUUAUCCAAUGUCGCAGCGCUCAGGCUGUAUUUACUUU
Non-coding RNA from Nicotiana tabacum (common tobacco), 1170 nucleotides. NCBI's taxonomy places the organism in Eukaryota, Viridiplantae, Streptophyta, Magnoliopsida, Solanales, Solanaceae. The record is from RefSeq and is a predicted model, not a curated record.